UGAAGACACGUGUUGGACACG
This 21-nucleotide microRNA is filed under the name Picea abies (Norway spruce). RNAcentral's name for it is "pab-miR11464b". Lineage: Eukaryota; Viridiplantae; Streptophyta; Pinopsida; Pinales; Pinaceae. The record is from miRBase by way of RNAcentral.